CCACGCCCGCUCAGAAACUACAAUAGAAUUGACGGGGCCCGGCACAAGCGGAGGAGCAUGUGGUUUAAUUCGAUGAUACGCGAGGAACCUUACCUGGGCUCGAACGUAAGAUGACUGUAGGUGAAAGCUUACAUCUCUUCGGAGCAUUUUACGAGGUGCUGCAUGGUUGUCGUCAGCUCGUGCCGUGAGGUGUCGGGUUAAGUCCCAUAACGAGCGCAACCCCUACCUUUAGUUGCCAUCAGGUUAAGCUGGGGACUCUAAAGGAACUGCCUACGCAAGUAGUGAGGAAGGCGGGGAUGACGUCAAAUCAGCACGGCCCUUACGUCCAGGGCUACACACGUGCUACAAUGGCCGAUACAGAGGGCAGCUACCUGGUGACAGGAUGCAAAUCUCCAAAGUCGGUCUCAGUUCGGAUCGGAGUCUGCAACCCGACUCCGUGAAGUUGGAUUCGCUAGUAAUCGCGCAUCAGCCAUGGCGCGGUGAAUACGUUCCCGGGCCUU
Molecule: ribosomal RNA, 500 nt
Filed under: uncultured Sphingobacteriales bacterium
Lineage: Bacteria; Pseudomonadati; Bacteroidota; Sphingobacteriia; Sphingobacteriales
Description: bacterial SSU rRNA
Rfam family: Bacterial small subunit ribosomal RNA
Source: RNAcentral